UACGUAGGGUGCGAGCGGUAAUCGGAAUUACUGGGCGUAAAGUGUGCGCAGGCGGCCGAGCAAGUCGAGUGUGAAAGCCCCGAGCUUAACUUGGGAACUGCGCUCGAAACUACUUGGCUAGAGUGUGGCAGAGGGAGGUGGAAUUCCACGUGUAGCGGUGAAAUUCGUAGAUAUUGGGAAGAACACCGAUGGCGAAGGCAGCCAUCUGGACCGACACUGACGCUGAGGCGCGAAAGCGUGGGGAGCAAACAGG
Molecule: ribosomal RNA, 253 nt
Filed under: uncultured bacterium
Lineage: Bacteria
Description: partial 16S ribosomal RNA
Rfam family: Bacterial small subunit ribosomal RNA
Source: RNAcentral